GACGAACGCUGGCGGCGUGCCUAACACAUGCAAGUCGAACGAUGAAGAAAAGACUUGAAGCUUCGGCAGAAAUUCAUUUCGGAUUAGUGGCAGACGGGUGAGUAACGCGUGAGCAACCUACCUCUUACAAAGGGAUAGCCUCGGGAAACCGGGAUUAAUACCAUAUAACAUUGCGACGAAGCAUUUCGAUGCAAUCAAAGCUACGGCGGUAAGAGAUGGGCUCGCGUCCCAUUAACCAGAUGGUGAGGUAACGGCUCACCAUAGUAACGAUGGGUAACCGGCCUGAGAGGGUGAACGGUCACACUGGAACUGAGACACGGUCCAGACUCCUACGGGAGGCAGCAGUGGGGAAUAUUGCACAAUGGAGGGAACUCUGAUGCAGCGACGCCGCGUGAGUGAUGAAGGAAUUCGUUUCGUAAAACUCUGUUCUAUGGGAAGAAAAGGACUGUACCAUAGGAGAAAGCUCCGGCUAAAUACGUG
Molecule: ribosomal RNA, 480 nt
Filed under: uncultured bacterium
Lineage: Bacteria
Description: partial 16S ribosomal RNA
Rfam family: Bacterial small subunit ribosomal RNA
Source: RNAcentral